UUUAAUUUUAUUUCUACUCCUCGGGCUCCUGUGACUGGUAAAAUUCAUGAGACGAGGCCGACAACUACAGCGAAAGCAUCUCCUUUUUUUAUUAAUCAAGAACGAAAGUCAGAGGUCGAAGAGGUUGAUACCGCCCUAGUUCUGACCGUAAACGAUGCCAACUAGCGAUCCGCCGAUGGAAAUUAUAUUGCCUUGGUGGGGAGAAUCCCGGAAACGAAAGUCUUCCGGUUCCGGGGGAAGUAUGGUUGCAAAGCUGAAACUUAAAGGAAUUGACGGAAGGGCACCACCAGGAGUGGAGCCUGCGGCUUAAUUUGACUCAACACGGGGAAACUCACCCGGCCCGGACACUGUGAGGAUUGACAGAUUGAUAGCUUUUUCAUGAUUCAGUGGAUGGUGGUGCAUGGCCGUUCUUAGUUCGUGGAGUGAUUUGUCUGGUAAUUCCGAUAACGAGCGAGACUCUAACCUACUAAAUAGUUGGUACAUACUCUUAGUGUAUACAGCUUCUUAGAGGGAUUUGCGGCGUUCAGCCGAAAGAAAUUGAGCAAUAACAGGUCUGUGAUGCCCUUAGAUGUCCGGGGCUGCACGCGCGCUACACUGGCAAAAUCAACGUGCUUGUCCUACCCUGAAAGGGGCGGGUAAACCAUUGAAAAUUUGCCGUGAUUGGGAUCGGAAAUUGCAAUUAUUUUCCGUGAACGAGGAAUUCCAAGUAAGUGCGAGUCAUCAGCUCGCGUUGAUUACGUCCCUGCCCUUUGUACACACCGCCCGUCGCUGCCCGGGACUGAGCCAUUUCGAGAAAUUUGGGGACCGUUGAUUUAAUUUUUCUAAAUUACUUUGAUGGAAACCAAUUUAAUCGCAGUGGCUUGAACCC
This 868-nucleotide ribosomal RNA is filed under the name Meloidogyne incognita (southern root-knot nematode). RNAcentral describes it as "SSU rRNA". It matches the Rfam family "Eukaryotic small subunit ribosomal RNA", at positions 824 to 1780 of the family's 1831-position model. The record is from RNAcentral. Lineage: Eukaryota; Metazoa; Nematoda; Chromadorea; Rhabditida; Meloidogynidae.